Non-coding RNA from Trichobilharzia regenti, 46 nucleotides. NCBI's taxonomy places the organism in Eukaryota, Metazoa, Platyhelminthes, Trematoda, Strigeidida, Schistosomatidae. The record is from Rfam.
AUAUUGCUGAAGGGUCCCAAACUAGGACGAAACGGCUGUCCAGUAC